This 281-nucleotide long non-coding RNA is filed under the name Lathyrus oleraceus (garden pea). Its description in RNAcentral is "Pisum sativum (pea) long non-coding RNA (PSAT_LNC034627)". The record is from RNAcentral. Lineage: Eukaryota; Viridiplantae; Streptophyta; Magnoliopsida; Fabales; Fabaceae.
UCAAGUAUCCUCAACAUUCAAAAUGAUUUUCAAAUGUUUUAGUCUUUCUGCACGUUAUUGCUUAGCCUUCAUGUUUUUAGAUGCAAUGUUUAUCAAAAAUUCGGACGUUUUUUGCAAACAAAACAGUAAAAGUAAAAACAGGAGAGCAAUUUAUCUGAAUAACGACUUUUAUUGAUUGAAAACGUGCCUGAAAAGGCAGAUACAUUGGGAAGCAAUUCCUAGAAAGAGGUAAUUGCGCACAAAAGGAAAAUAAACUAUCCUAAUGGCAAUGUGAAUACGGC